RNAcentral lists this ribosomal RNA (327 nucleotides) under Triticum aestivum (bread wheat). Its description in RNAcentral is "partial small subunit ribosomal RNA". The record is from RNAcentral. Lineage: Eukaryota; Viridiplantae; Streptophyta; Magnoliopsida; Poales; Poaceae.
AUGCAUGGAGCUGACAGUAAGGAGGUGAGGAAGCUUUCAGACAAGCUGAAUGAACUCUUAUAUAAAGAGGAAAUGCUUUGGUUGCAUCGCUCUAGAGUUAACUGGCUAAAAGAGGGGGACUGUAAUACAAAUAGUUUCCAUUGGAAAGCAAUGUGGCGUGCAAAAAAGAACAAAAUCGUGAAACUUCAGAAGGAUGAUGGCAGCUGGGCAUCCUCACAGGCUGAGCUCGAAGGGAUGGCCACACAAUUCUUUCAGAAUCUCUUCUCGCGGGACCCCAAUCUGAACCCAAGUGACAUCGUCAAUUUGUUUGAAAAAAAAGGUCUCUGA